RNAcentral lists this non-coding RNA (213 nucleotides) under Enterococcus saccharolyticus. RNAcentral describes it as "T-box sequence". It matches the Rfam family "T-box leader". From Rfam's summary of the family: Uncharged tRNA acts as the effector for transcription antitermination of genes in the T-box leader family. T-boxes are found upstream of many aminoacyl-tRNA synthetase genes and some amino acid biosynthetic genes usually in Gram-positive bacteria. Lineage: Bacteria; Bacillati; Bacillota; Bacilli; Lactobacillales; Enterococcaceae. The record is from RNAcentral.
GUCCAGACGAAGAACAAGAGGAGUAACUAGCAAACUGUUUUUAGAGAGAAAAUCAUUGGGUGUAAGAUUUUCAGCAGUACCUAGUGAAGGUAGCUUGGGAGUUUUUGAUUUGAAUGCAAAGUAGAAUCAAACGAGUAGUGACCGUUAUUUCACUUUUGAGAGGUAGAAAAAUUCUACAAUUUAGGUGGUACCGCGUAAUUUUACGUCCUAAGA